AGCAGCGCUAUCUGCGAUCCCAGCACUGCCCUCCUCCUGACGCUGCCUAUAAGAGUGCUGCUGAGCUGCACAGCGGUUCCAGCCCCGGCACUGCUGCGCAGGAGGAGAGCAGGAACAGCACGAGUGCAGCAGGCAGACCUGGGGACACAGCGCAGCGCUGUUUGCAACAGUGACCCACCAGGGUGGGUUUGGGGACCCUCGAAGAAUGCGUGAAAAAGAAACUCCUCAGCCUCAAAGUGCUGCUGUCAACAAGAAGGAAAGGGGAAGUGUCCCGUGAGUGUCUGUUGGGCUCCUGAAGGGAUAAUUACAGACUGCAAACCGCCUCCAUUGCUGUGGAAGGGAGAUUGGAAUGAGACAGCCGCUAUCCCGUCUCAAAUGCAGAUCUUGGUGGGCCAUAACGUGCCUGCCCAGCAAGGAUUUAUUGUACCAAUCUAUAACAUAAUCUUGUAUGACAUAUUAGUAAACAGCCCUUUAAAGAUAACCCCACUACCUCCAAUCGGUGCGUUGGGAAGGAUUGCCAAGCACUUACUGCUACACAGAAAUAAAACAGAGACCUCAGUCUGCAUCCCGAUUGUGUGUGUGUUGGAUGAUGCUCGGCAAGAGGGAUAGCUCCCCCAGAGCAGCAUCACCCCCUCUUCACCAGGCUGUGUCCCGGCCCCCAUCACCGCCACCCCUGCUCGGUGCUGUGCUGGGGAAGAGGAGCUGUGGGAGCGCUGCUCUGGUGCUGGCACAGCAGGACCUGUGCUGGGGCACGACUGGGAGCAGCUCUGCAGAUGGGCCCUGAGUGCUGCUGGGCUCCGAGGGGACACGAAGUGGCUGUGGCCCUCCACCUGUGUCCGGGCUGCGCUGGGAUGGCACUGCCAGCAGUGGAACGAGUGGGAUCUGCCCUCUGCUCAGCAAUGGUGCGGCUGCACAGACAGCACUGGGGGCAGCUCUGGGCCCCCCGCACAGGAGAGCCCGGGACACACUGGGGAGAGUGCAGCACAGGGCCACUGAGCUGCUGCAGUGCCGGGGGCAGCUCUGCUGGGAGGAGAGUUGGGCAGGCUCAGAGGGAUCCACUGUGACCACAGAGCCCUGCAGGAGCUGUGAGGGGACGGAGCCGCGCUGCGCUCAGCGGUGCCGGGGCAGCACCCGGCGCUGGGCUCCAACUGCAGCCCAGGAGCUCCCGGCACACACACAGCCCUGCACGGGGAUGGCGGCUGCGGGCUCUCCUCCUUGGGCAUCUCCCACCCCACUCUGCUCUGGGGUGGCCCUGAUGGGGUGGGGGCACCAGAGGGACCCCGAGGAGCCCCAUCCUCAGCCACACUGCGGGGCUGACAUCCCUGCCCACUCACAGUCGCUUCCCACCCCCCUCCCCGUGUGGAUGAGAGAUGAAUCUGGGACAGGUUCUCCACAGCACGGCAAGGCUCAGCGUUUAUUGAGAGCUCCUAUGUGUCCAGCAGUGCACAGCACACCCUGCAUCGUCCCGUGAAGGCAGAGGCCCUCCAGCCAUGGCACCGGCAGCGCCCGCUGCGGUGGGACGGACACGAGCACCACGAGCCCCCAGCCCUGCACAGCUCCUUCCAGCCCCGGCUCUCAGCAGAUGGCCAAUGAAGAGCAUCAGCGCAGAGGUGCUGAGAGCCGCAGAGCGCAGCGACACAGCAGCAUACACACAUUGAGCACCUGCAGCCCGCAGGGAAAGCAGUGACACAGGGCAGGGGAAAGCGCAGGGCAUGGAGGGGAAGGAUGGGAACUGCAAGCCAGGAAGGAGAGUGUCAUCUUCAGAGCGCAGCAGGGACGGCACAAUGGAGGAGAUGUCUCCUCCCGGACCGACCCCUCACUGCCUACAGGAUGGUACAAAGCCUAGACAAUUCCUGUGUGUCUUCCUCCAGCAUUUCUCGUGUGUAACACGGAGCAUCACCAUUCUCCUCUACCAUGGCAUCAAUCAUGUGGAUGAGCUCUGCAACCUGCCCAUCCCUCGCCUCUCUGGUGGCUUUGUUGCUGAAACCGAUGUACCGAUUUCCACACUUUGCUGCCAAACCCUUGAGAUAUGAGCUCCCUUCUAUGAAAGCCUUCAGGGCUUCUGGAUGCUCCAGCUCUUCUGCUCGGGUGAAUAACAGGAUGGUGUAAUUCCUUCCUUCAGUAUGGAAAAUCUUGGUCAGCCACUCAGCCACUUCCUGCUCUUUCUUAGUGAUUCAGCCCAGCUGCAUCACAAACACGAUGGCAUGGACCCCUGCACAGAGGUUCUGAAAGGCAUUCUUGAUCUUUUCAAUUGAUGACCUACUGGAUGGUACAAAACCUCCUAUAGAAUUUCCGUUUGUCUUCCUCCAGCAUUUCUCGUGUGUAACGUGGAGCAUCGCCAUUCUUCUCUACCAUGGCAUCAAUCAUGUUGAUGAGCUCUGCAACCUGCCCAUCCUUCACCUCUCUGGUGGCUGUGUUGCUGAAACCAAUGUACCGAUUUCCACACUUUCUUGCCAGCCCCCUGAGGUAUGGGUUCCCUUCUAUGAAACUCUUCAGAUCUUUCGGAUCCUUCAGCUGUUCUGCUCGGGUGAAUAACAGGAUUGUGUACUUCUCUGCUUUAGUAUUGACAAUCUUGGUCACCCUCUCUGCCACUUCCUGCUCUUCCUGACUGAUUUGGCCCAGCUGCAUCACCAGGAUGAUGGCAUGGACCCCGGCAUAGACGUACUGAAGAGCAUUCGUAAUCCUUUCAGCUAUUUUUGUUUUGGAUUCCCUUGUAUCAAAUAGGCCAGGUGUGUCAAUAACUUCAAUUGGUCUUCCAGAGAAGAGGCCUUUGACUUUCUUGUACUCUUGGGUUGCUGCAUGUGCUGACACCGGCAAAUCAAAUGCCUCCCUCCCAAGGAUGGUGUUCCCUGUUGCACUCUUCCCAGUCCCUGUCUUGCCCACGAGGAUGAUGCUCAGCUGGGAUCCUGGGGAUCAAACACAGACGUGUGUGAGCCCUGCGGCGCUGGGACAGCCCCUGCUCACCACGCGCCGGCUCCCAGGCAGAGGUGCCGGGGCUGCAAGGAAAGGUGUCCCCGAGUCACCGCUGUGCCUGUGGGGAUGGGAUGGGAUGGGGCAUGGGCUGGAGCCGGCUGCCAGCAGGCACACAGGGCUCUCUCGGCCUCAUCCGCCCUCAUCCUCACUCUGUGUGGCUCUCAGAGCGGGGAGAUGGGAGGCAGUCUCCGGAUACACACGACCAUGCAACAGGGGAGGCACUCACCUGUCCUGUGACAUCCUGCCAUUGGGGCUGCACUCACUCACACUCACACGGGAAGCCUGGAAUAAGAAAUAUUUUAUGUGAGAGCAGCACAAACCUCCCCUGCUUCCCUCCCUGUGCUAAUGAAGGCUAUACAGACGAUCUCUGGGGACUCAGGUCAGUCCCACAGCCGUGUGUGCAUGGAGAAAGCCCAGUGUCAUCAGAAUUACCCAUCUCCCCUGACUUUCCCUUUUUCUUUGGA
This 3437-nucleotide long non-coding RNA is filed under the name Gallus gallus (chicken). Lineage: Eukaryota; Metazoa; Chordata; Aves; Galliformes; Phasianidae. The record is from RNAcentral.